RNAcentral lists this ribosomal RNA (251 nucleotides) under uncultured bacterium. RNAcentral describes it as "partial 16S ribosomal RNA". It matches the Rfam family "Bacterial small subunit ribosomal RNA", at positions 338 to 581 of the family's 1533-position model. The record is from RNAcentral.
CCUACGGGGGGCAGUAGUAGGGAAUUUUAGUUAAUGGGUGUAAGCCUGAACGAGCGAUGCCGCGUGAGUGAAGAAGGCCUUCGGGUCGUAAAGCUCUGUUGCGGGGGAAAAAAGGCAGCAUCAGGAAAUGGGUGCUGACUGAUGGUGCCCCGCCAGAAAGUCACGGCUAACUACGUGCCAGCAGCCGCGGUAAUACGUAGGUGGCGAGCGUUAUCCGGAAUGAUUGGGCGUAAAGGGCGCGCAGGCGGUCC